GACGAACGCUGGCGGCGUGCUUAACACAUGCAAGUCGAACGGAAAGGCCCUGCUUUUGUGGGGUGCUCGAGUGGCGAACGGGUGAGUAACACGUGAGUAACCUGCCCUUGACUUUGGGAUAACUUCAGGAAACUGGGGCUAAUACCGGAUAGGAGCUCCUGCUGCAUGGUGGGGGUUGGAAAGUUUCGGCGGUUGGGGAUGGACUCGCGGCUUAUCAGCUUGUUGGUGGGGUAGUGGCUUACCAAGGCUUUGACGGGUAGCCGGCCUGAGAGGGUGACCGGCCACAUUGGGACUGAGAGACGGACCAGACUCCAACGGGAGGCAGCAGGGGGGAAUAUUGCACAGUGGGCGGAAGCCUGAGGCAGAAACGCCGCGUGCGGGAUGACGGCCUUCGGGUUGUAAACCGCUUUCGCCUGUGACGAAGCGUGAGUGACGGUAAUGGGUAAAGAAGCACCGGCUAACUACGUG
RNAcentral lists this ribosomal RNA (468 nucleotides) under uncultured bacterium. RNAcentral describes it as "partial 16S ribosomal RNA". It matches the Rfam family "Bacterial small subunit ribosomal RNA", at positions 28 to 507 of the family's 1533-position model. The record is from RNAcentral.